CGUUGUUCGGAAUUAUUGGGCGUAAAGGGUGCGUAGGCGGUCUGACAAGUCUGAUGUGAAAUCUAUGGGCUCAACCCAUAGUCUGCACAGGAAACUGUCGGGCUAGAGUAUGGGAGAGGUGCGUGGAAUUUCCGGUGUAGCGGUGAAAUGCGUAGAUAUCGGAAGGAACACCUGUGGCGAAAGCGGCGCACUGGACCAAAACUGACGCUGAGGCACGAAAGCUAGGGGAGCAAACAGG
Molecule: ribosomal RNA, 238 nt
Filed under: uncultured bacterium
Lineage: Bacteria
Description: partial 16S ribosomal RNA
Rfam family: Bacterial small subunit ribosomal RNA
Source: RNAcentral